UACAGAGGGUGCGAGCGUUGUUCGGAAUCAUUGGGCGUAAAGCGCUUGUAGGCGGCCUGUCAAGUCGCGUGUGAAAUCCCUUGGCUUAACCAAGGAAGUGCGCGCGAAACUGGCGGGCUUGAGUGCCGGAGAGGGUCGCGGAAUUCCCGGUGUAGAGGUGAAAUUCGUAGAUAUUGGGAAGAACACCGGUGGCGAAGGCGGCGCUCUGGACCGAGACUGACGCUGAGGCGCGAAGGCGUGGGGAGCAAACAGG
RNAcentral lists this ribosomal RNA (253 nucleotides) under uncultured bacterium. RNAcentral's name for it is "partial 16S ribosomal RNA". It matches the Rfam family "Bacterial small subunit ribosomal RNA", at positions 524 to 776 of the family's 1533-position model. The record is from RNAcentral.